This 432-nucleotide ribosomal RNA is filed under the name uncultured bacterium. RNAcentral describes it as "partial 16S ribosomal RNA". It matches the Rfam family "Bacterial small subunit ribosomal RNA", at positions 29 to 506 of the family's 1533-position model. The record is from RNAcentral.
AACGAACGCUGGCGGCAUGCCUAACACAUGCAAGUCGAACGAGAUCUUCGGAUCUAGUGGCGCACGGGUGCGUAACGCGUGGGAAUCUGCCCCUUGCUUCGGAAUAACAGUGAGAAAUUACUGCUAAUACCGGAUGAUGUCUUCGGACCAAAGAUUUAUCGGCAAGGGAUGAGCCCGCGUAGGAUUAGGUAGUUGGUGGGGUAAUGGCCUACCAAGCCGACGAUCCUUAGCUGGUCUGAGAGGAUGAUCAGCCACACUGGGACUGAGACACGGCCCAGACUCCUACGGGAGGCAGCAGUGGGGAAUAUUGGACAAUGGGCGAAAGCCUGAUCCAGCAAUGCCGCGUGAGUGAUGAAGGCCUUAGGGUUGUAAAGCUCUUUUACCAGGGAUGAUAAUGACAGUACCGGGAGAAUAAGCUCCGGCUAACUCCGU